UUCCGGUUGAUCCCGCCGGAGGCUACCGCUAUUGGAGUUCGAUUAAGCCAUGCGAGUCGCGAGACUUAGAAUCUCGGCGUACCGCUCAGUAACACGUGGGUAACCUGCCCUAUGCUAGGGGAUAACCUCGGGAAACUGAGAAUAAUACCCUAUAGUUCACCACACCUGGAACGGUGGGUGGAUGAAAGCUCCGGCGGCAUAGGAUGGGCCUGCGGCGUAUCAGGUUGUAGGGGGUGUAAUGUACCCUCUAGCCAUCUACGCGUACGGGUGUUGAGAGACAUCGCCCGGAGAUGGAUUCUGAGACACGAAUCCAGACCCUACGGGGUGCAGCAGGCGCGAAAACUUGGCAAUGCGAGCAAUCGUGACCAGGGAACUCCAAGUGCAUCGGGUAAGACCGAUGCUUUUCUUGACUCUUCAAAGGUCUUGGAAUAAGGGGUGGGUAAGGACGGUGCCAGCCGCCGCGGUAAUACCGGCGCCUCAAGUGGUAGUCGCUUUUAUUGGGCCUAAAACGUCCGUAGCCGGUUUGGUACAUUCGUGGGUAAAUCAAGACGCUCAACGUCUUGAAUUCUGCGAGCACGGCCAGACUUGGGACCGGGUGAGGUGUGGGGUACUCUCAGGGUAGGGGUAAAAUCCUGUCAUCCUGAGAGGACCACCUGUUGCGAAGGCGCCACACUAGAACGGAUUCGACGGUCAGGGACGAAGCCAGAGGGGCACGAACCGGAUUAGAUACCCGGGUAGUCCUAGGUGUAAACGCU
Molecule: ribosomal RNA, 755 nt
Filed under: uncultured euryarchaeote
Lineage: Archaea; Methanobacteriati; Methanobacteriota
Description: bacterial SSU rRNA
Rfam family: Archaeal small subunit ribosomal RNA
Source: RNAcentral